This 253-nucleotide ribosomal RNA is filed under the name uncultured bacterium. RNAcentral's name for it is "partial 16S ribosomal RNA". It matches the Rfam family "Bacterial small subunit ribosomal RNA", at positions 524 to 776 of the family's 1533-position model. The record is from RNAcentral.
UACGUAGGGAGCAAGCGUUGUCCGGAAUCAUUGGGCGUAAAGCGCGCGUAGUUGGCCUCGUAAGUCCGCUGUGAAAGUCAAAGGCUCAACCUUUGAAAGCCGGUGGAUACUGCGAGGCUAGAGUACGGAAGAGGCGAGUGGAAUUCCUGGUGUAGCGGUGGAAUGCGCAGAUAUCAGGAGGAACACCAAUAGCGAAGGCAGCUCGCUGGGACGUUACUGACACUGAGGCGCGAAAGCGUGGGGAGCGAACAGG